RNAcentral lists this ribosomal RNA (253 nucleotides) under uncultured bacterium. RNAcentral's name for it is "partial 16S ribosomal RNA". It matches the Rfam family "Bacterial small subunit ribosomal RNA", at positions 524 to 776 of the family's 1533-position model. The record is from RNAcentral.
UACGGAGGGUGCAAGCGUUGUUCGGAAUUAUUGGGCGUAAAGCGUGUGUAGGCGGCUAUUUAAGUCUGAUGUGAAAGCCCAGGGCUUAACCUUGGAAGUGCAUUGGAUACUGAGUAGCUAGAGGGCGAGAGAGGAUAGUGGAAUUCCUGGUGUAGGGGUGAAAUCCGUAGAUAUCAGGAGGAACAUCGGUGGCGAAGGCGGCUAUCUGGCUCGCAUCUGACGCUCAGACGCAAAAGCGUGGGGAGCAAACAGG